GUCGUGGCUCAGUGGUAGAGCAUCUGCUUUGCAUGCAAAAGGUCCCGGGUUCAAUCCUCAAUGGCAUCUCCA
This 72-nucleotide transfer RNA is filed under the name Podarcis lilfordi (Lilford's wall lizard). RNAcentral's name for it is "tRNA.Ala". It matches the Rfam family "tRNA". Rfam says of the family: Transfer RNA (tRNA) molecules are approximately 80 nucleotides in length. Their secondary structure includes four short double-helical elements and three loops (D, anti-codon, and T loops). The record is from RNAcentral. Lineage: Eukaryota; Metazoa; Chordata; Lepidosauria; Squamata; Lacertidae.